RNAcentral lists this unclassified non-coding RNA (219 nucleotides) under rhizosphere metagenome. Its description in RNAcentral is "partial ribosomal RNA internal transcribed spacer region". The record is from RNAcentral.
UUCAGUAGCUUGCUACUGGUCGGGAGGUGCUGUAACUCCGCAUAGUAUUCAUUUACUGAUGAGCGGCCGGCCCUCUGUCUGUACCCUUGUCUUUUGCGCACUCAUGUUUCCUCGGCGGGCUUGCCCGCCGAUUGGACAAAACUAUAACCUUUUUAAUUUUCAAUCAGCGUCUGAAAAAACUUAAUAAUUACAACUUUCAACAACGGAUCUCUUGGUUCU